This 4814-nucleotide long non-coding RNA is filed under the name Sus scrofa (pig). RNAcentral's name for it is "lncRNA (ENSSSCG00060032343.1)". The record is from RNAcentral. Lineage: Eukaryota; Metazoa; Chordata; Mammalia; Artiodactyla; Suidae.
UUUUUUUUUUUUUCUCUUUUUGCUUUUUAAGGCCGCACCCACAGCACAUGGAAGUUCCCAGGCUAGCAGUGGAAUCAGAGCAGCAGUCACCAGCCAAUGCCAAAGCCACAGCAACUCCAGAUCCAAGUCAUGUCUGCAACCUACACCACAGCUCACACCAACACUGGAUCCUUAAGCUUCUGAGUGAGACCAGAGAUCAAACCCACAUCAUCAUGGAUACAAGUCGGGCUCAUUACCACUGAGCCACAACAGGAACUCCUGCUUCCCACUCUUAAUCGCUACCACUGGUUCAGCAUCUCAUGAGCGUGUGUGGUUUUCAGGCCUUCUUCCCCCCACCCCACCCCCCGCCCCAUUUCUCAGAGCAGACAGCUCUCCUGGGCUUUGGCAUAUAAAGACCCCAGGUUCUGAGUCAAAGGGAAUCAACUUGGUUGCCAAAGAUUCUUGGUAGGCACAGAGCGGCCAUCUAGGGGUGACCACAGAUACUAAGCUCUGGAAACCAACCUAGGGAAGGAAGCUGAAGUUUUAUGCAGUUUAAAUGAUGAUUACUUUGGUAGAAUCUGAAUUCUAACUGAUUGAUCAUGAUGCUCAGAAAUGAUUGUUUAUUUGGCAGGUAUGAUCAUGGUAUUAUAGAUAUAUUAAAAAUAAGAUUUCUCUUAUAGUGCAGUGGGUUAAGGAUCUGGCAUUGUCACUGCAGUGGCUUGGGUCACUGCUGUGGCUUGGAUUCAAUCCUUGGCCCAGGAAAUUCUGUAUGCCACGACAUGCCCAAAAUAAGAAGAGGAAGAGAGAUAGAUCUUAUCUUUUAGAGAGACAGGCCAAGACUGAAAUAUUUAUUAAUAAAAUUAUGUUGAAAUAAACCCCAGACAACAAAUAAUCUGACAGUGGAAGGAGAGUUGGCUAUUAGCUUAUGAUUUUUGAAUCUGUGAUGAAGACUCAGGGUACAUGGAAGUUAUUAGGCUAUUUUCUCUACUUUUGUCUGUGUUUGAAAUUUUCCCUACUAUGGCGUUUUAAAGCAUAUCCUUUGUAAACAGCCAUAUCCUUUGUAAACAGUCAAACUACUAGAAAGUUUUAAGACAACUGAAAGCCUCUACAAAGUCUUUAAUAAAUGGCAUUUCAUUAGAUGAAUAAAGAUAGAACAAAGUCUCCACAGUGCAAAUUAAACAGUACAUAUUUAAUUCAGCAAAUGUAAGAUUGUUUUUGAAAGAUCUUCGGCUGUGGAUUAUAGCUAAGUGAUAACUUGGGCUCAGAAAAUUAAAAUUAGAUCACAUAGAAAGAAAAGAAAAACAGUAGAGAUCUCAAGUAUUAUACAUUCUCUCUUGGCAAUAAUACUAAUAGAUUUAACAGAUAAUCAAGACUGAAUAACAAAAUAUUGAGUCCAGUUCUGCCAGAGGGCAGAGGCACAGUUCCAAGUAACCUCCAGCUCUCCCAGUUUGGUUUCUGUGUAAAUAACAGAUAACAUGUCAGAGUUAUUCUUUCUAUUCCACUGAUAGCAGGUUUAGCCCCCCCAAAUGGACACAAGUUUUAUUAGCUAAGGGGAUUAGAAAUAACUCAGCUGGUUCAUCAUGCAGAGUUGUGGCAAAAUUGGUGCAGAGAUGUGGCAAGAUUUAGGAAGUGAAUCUGAACCCUCAGGUUGAGCUCACAACAUGGAAGAGACGCAAAGAGAAUACAGUGAGCUGGUCAUGUCAUUCUAACUUGAAAUUUAGAUGUCUGUCAAAAUCCACAUUCUUAGUACUGAGUUCAAUAAAAACGGAGCCAAGGUUUUCAUGUCACACUUCAAUGGCCACUGAGCAGCUGAAUUAGCAGACAGAUAGAUGGCAGCCACUUGAGCAUGUGGUCACUUGUCCCAGCCACUUUCAGGUAAGCUCAGAGUUUACAGUAAAGCUUUGAAUCCCCGCUGGGUGCUAAGCCUUUGACCAGCAUUAUUGAAUACAAACCUCCCGGCACUCAUAAUACCAUCCCAUUUUAUGAACCAGGAAACCAAGGCCCAGAGAGGCUCAGAAUGCUACCUGAGGUCCUCCAACUAGGACGUUGCUAAGCUUAGGUUUAAAGCCAGACUCUCUGAUCAGUGAACUUACGUCCUUCACCACAACACGAGCCCAUUUUACUAAAUACACAGAGACUAAUAAAAUAUGUCAGAAUAUUAUCUCUCCAACCUUGACCAUUUAAAUAAACACAUACCCUUUUGCUGAUUCAUCGGGCAAGACGUCUAGCUCUGUCCUUUCUCACUGCAAUUAACCUCUAGCCCAUUCCUUCUAGGAGCUCAUCAGAACUCCAGGCUGGGCUAUGAUGGAGAUACCCGUACAUUUAAAAGUAGCCAUUUGCUUUUCACACAUACAGACACACACACAGACACACACACACACACACACACCAGCACUCUCAUAUACAUCUCAUUCUGGUGGGGUUCAACAUUAGAGACAAAGGAAAAAGAAUCCCUGAAAAGGAUGCCUAUGAUCAUCAAAAAUUGGGGUUAAUAGAGGUAAACUAUUACAUUUAGAAUGGAUAAGCAAUGAGGUCCUACUAUAUAGCACAGAAAAAUCCAGUUUCUUGAGACAGACCAUGAUGGAAGAUAAUAUAAAAAAUGUCACUAUGCUGUAUAGCAGAAAUUGGCACUACACUGUAAAUCAACUAUAAUAAAAAAAAAGACAUAAAAAAACUCUGACUAGAAUUCAGAAGAGAGCCCCAUCUAAGGCAAAGCUGACUUAAUUUGCCAGAGAAACUAUUUCCUGCCCAUGGAGGAAUUAACGCUAGAUCUGCACGUAUGUGGCAAGAUAGCCACACAAGACUUGAAAAGGAGGGAGACAAAACGAGGAGUAACGCCAUACAGCAGGGUGGAGUUUUAGCAAAAGCAUUUGUCAACUGCACCUAACAGAUGAUCCUAUCUGAUACUUCACUCUUGGAUGACAACAGGGAUUACGUUAAGGUGGUAUAUGUGGAUUAUAAUUUCAUAAAUACUAACAACAGGCUUUCUCAUUUUACUGACAGGAAAUAUUUUGAAUAAGGAAGAGAACAGGGGACCAUGCAGAAAGAGUAAGCAGUACCUUCACAUCCAUACUGACUCUGAUGCCAUUAUGGUAAACUUUGCUUGAGGUUACAGCCAGAUUUUUUUUAAGUGCUCUCUUGUGUGCAUGAAAGCAGAUAAAAGUUUGGAGCUGCUCUGAUACCCCUGAAGAAUGAGCCUUAGGGUAAAACCUAGCUCUGUAGAAAGAGAGCCUCUAGCCCACUAAAGAUUUUUCUGGCUGCUUACUUUAUGUUGUUUGGAUUUAUUUUGGAAUUUGUCCUUAGGUUUUUCAACCUAUAUCACAAUAUCAUGCAGAGAUUGCGAAGGAUGUUGUUGAUAUCAACAUUAUAAUUUCCAGAAAGAUCUAUACCUUAAAAUGAGGGUAGAAAUGAAUGGCUUUCAUUGCUUUAUAUCCAUAAUUCUUUUUUAGUGUCCUAACAUAAUACUUUCUUGUUUAGCAUCAUCAUAGAACAAGGUAUUCAAUAUAGUAUAUUUUCCAGAUAAUUGUUUUAAUUAUGUUUUACUUCGAUUUGCUUUUCUUAAGGGCAUUAUAUAGUGAGCAUAUGUAUCUGGUUCAUAGGUUAAAAAUAGCCACUAAAUUAGCACAUCAAAAAUCAGUGACAGUCUCUUAAUUUAUUGGGUUUGUAUGGAUAUUUAGCCAAUAAAUUAGGUAACUUCAAACUCACAGGGAAUUGGAGUUGUGUCUGCUGUGUCCUAUUCCUGAUCAACUGAGGCUUCUUGGUGCUAGAAGGAUAUCUUCUCAUUGUCAUUUCUAACCUAUCACAGAAGAGGAAAUGAAUAACUGAGCUUGUUAGAAUUUGUCUAAAACAAGACUACACAGAGGAACUCUGCAAUGAAUGAAGAAUAACAGUUUUGGUGCAUAAACCAUCUUAUGUUCAUCAACCACUACACUUAAAAGUCUAAGACAGCAAGGCCACAUCUGCAUUCUUAGAACCUAUCAGAGUUAUUAGCACCCAAUAAAUACAUGCUGAAUGAUUAAAUGAAUUUACAGUUUGGCAUUUAAUUUGACUUCUCUGAAACUUUUAAACUUACUUUAAUAUUCUCGGCUUCGUAGACUUAAAUUCAUGGAUUCUGCAUAAACUGUCACUGAUAGCUCUUGUGAAGUGAGAAAAUGUGUGCAAAACCACUAAGCUUAGUGCUCAACACACAACAAAAUACACACGAUAGUAUUAGUUGAGUCAGCAUUUUCCUUACCUAUGAUGCCGUUUUUUUUAAAAAAAAAAAAAAACUACUUUUCAUUGAUACAGAAUUUUCAAGGAGGUUGCAUAGUAUAAUGGGAAAACUACUUAAUCAAAAAUGAGGGGAGUUCCCACGUGGCUCAGCAUGUUAAGAAGCCAACAUAGUGUCCUUGAGGAUGCAGGUUUAAUCCCUGGCCUCGCUCAUCGGGUUAAGGAUUUGGCAUUGCCACAAAGUGUGGCAUAGGUUGCAGAUGCAGUUUGGAUCCAGUGUUGCUGUGGCUGUGGCUGUGACCAGCAGCUGCAGCUCUGAUUCAACCCCUAGCCUGGGAACUUCCAUAUUCCACAGGUGCUGCCAUGGAAGGAAGGAAAGAAGGAAGGGAGGGAGAGAGGAAGCAAGGAAGGGAGGGAGGGAAGAAGGAAAGAAUAAAAAUACCAAGUUCAAGUCCUGGCUUUCUCACAUAUUUAAUUCUGGCAGUGGGUAGCUAACAUAAUUUCUCAUAACCUUAGUUUCUUUGUGGGCAAACAGAAAUAAUUAUUCAGCUGAACAACAAUGUAUUGAAUGCCAGUCAGUGUUAAAGUCGACAGGAUUCAAAAAUUAUCUAUCACUUUUCUGCUUC